RNAcentral lists this ribosomal RNA (465 nucleotides) under uncultured bacterium. RNAcentral's name for it is "partial 16S ribosomal RNA". It matches the Rfam family "Bacterial small subunit ribosomal RNA", at positions 28 to 507 of the family's 1533-position model. The record is from RNAcentral.
GACGAACGCUGGCGGCGUGCUUAACACAUGCAAGUCGCACGGGACGGCCCUGCUUGCUGGGUGCUCGAGUGGCGAACGGGUGAGUAACACGUGGGUGGUCUGCCCUGCACAUCGGGCUAAGCCUGGGAAACUGGGUCUAAUACCGGGUAGGAGCAAGUCUUAGUGCGCUGGCUGGAGGGUUUUGUCGGUGUCGGAUGAGCUGGCGGCCUAUCAGCUUGUUGGUGGGGUAAUGGACUACCAAGGCGGCGAAGGGUAGCCGGGCUGGGAGGGGGGACGGCCAAAUUGGGAUUGGGAUACGGCCCGGACCACGACCGGAGGCAGGAGAGGGGAAUGGUGGACUAGGGGAGGGAGCCUAAUGCGGCGAAGCCGCGUGGGGGAUGAGGGCCUUCGGGUUGUGAUCUCAUUUCGCUAGGGUCGAGACGUUAUGUGACGGUACCUAGAGAAGCAGCACCGGCUAACUACGUG